UACGGGGGGAGCAAGCGUUGUUCGGAUUUACUGGGCGUAAAGGGCGCGUAGGCGGCCAGCACAAGUCAGUUGUGAAAUCUCCGAGCUUAACUCGGAAAGGUCAACUGAUACUGUGCGGCUAGAGUGCGGAAGGGGCAACUGGAAUUCUUGGUGUAGCGGUGAAAUGCGUAGAUAUCAGGAGGAACACCUGCGGCGAAGGCGGGUUGCUGGGCUGAUACUGACGCUGAGGCGCGAAAGCCAGGGGAGCGAACGGG
This 254-nucleotide ribosomal RNA is filed under the name uncultured bacterium. Its description in RNAcentral is "partial 16S ribosomal RNA". It matches the Rfam family "Bacterial small subunit ribosomal RNA", at positions 524 to 776 of the family's 1533-position model. The record is from RNAcentral.